AGCGAACGCUGGCGGCGUGCCUAACACAUGCAAGUCGAACGUGAAAAGGGAAACCUGAGUAAAGUGGCGUACGGGUGAGUAACGCGUAGGUAGUCUACCACAGAAUCUGGAAUAACCUGCCGAAAGGCGGGAUAAUACUGGAUAGAGCGUGGGAACUCGUAAGAGAGUUUGUCGGGAAGGGGAGCCCGCAAGGGCGUUCGUUCUGGGAUGAUCCUGCGUCUCAUUAGCUAGUUGGUAAGGUAACGGCUUACGAAGGCGAUGAUGAGUAGCUGGUCUGAGAGGGUGAGCAACCAGACUGGAGCGGGUACACGGCCCAGACGGCUACGGGAGGCAGCAGUGGGGAAUACGGCGCGAUGGAGGAGAGUCUGACGCAGCAAGGCCGGGUGCGUGAUGAAGGCAUGCGGCGUGUAAAGCUCCGUCGGAUGGGACGAACACCGUCAUAGUGUAUAGCGAUGAGGACGGGAGGUAACUGCAAAGGGAAGAACCGCUUACCUCCGU
Molecule: ribosomal RNA, 498 nt
Filed under: uncultured bacterium
Lineage: Bacteria
Description: partial 16S ribosomal RNA
Rfam family: Bacterial small subunit ribosomal RNA
Source: RNAcentral